Unclassified non-coding RNA from Callithrix jacchus (white-tufted-ear marmoset), 299 nucleotides. It matches the Rfam family "Metazoan signal recognition particle RNA". Rfam says of the family: The signal recognition particle (SRP) is a universally conserved ribonucleoprotein. NCBI's taxonomy places the organism in Eukaryota, Metazoa, Chordata, Mammalia, Primates, Cebidae. The record is from Ensembl.
GCCUGGCACGGUGGUGCAUGCCUGUAGUCCCGCUACUCAGGAGGCUGAGGUGGGAGGACUGCUUGAGUCCAGGAGUUCUGGGCUACAGUGCGCUAUGCCGAUUGGGUGCCCACACUAAGUUUGGCAUCAAUAUGGUGACCUCCCAGGAGUAGGGGACCACCAGGUUGCCUAAGGAGGGGUGAACCGGCCCAGGUUGGAAACAGAGCAGGUCAAAACUCCCGUGCUGAUCAGUAGUGGGAUCAUGCCUGUGAAUAGCCACUGUACUCCAGCCUGGGCAACAUAGCAAGACCCCAUCUCUA